UACGUAGGGUGCAAGCGUUAUCCGGAAUUAUUGGGCGUAAAGAGCUCGUAGGCGGUUUGUCGCGUCUGCCGUGAAAGUCCGGGGCUCAACUCCGGAUCUGCGGUGGGUACGGGCAGUCUAGAGUGCAGUAGGGGAGACUGGAAUUCCUGGUGUAGCGGUGAAAUGCGCAGAUAUCAGGAGGAACACCGAUGGCGAAGGCAGGUCUCUGGGCUGUAACUGACGCUGAGGAGCGAAAGCAUGGGGAGCGAACAGG
RNAcentral lists this ribosomal RNA (253 nucleotides) under uncultured bacterium. RNAcentral describes it as "partial 16S ribosomal RNA". It matches the Rfam family "Bacterial small subunit ribosomal RNA", at positions 524 to 776 of the family's 1533-position model. The record is from RNAcentral.